GACGAACGCUGGCGGCGUGCCUAAUACAUGCAAGUAGAACGCUGAAGGAGGAGCUUGCUUCUCUGGAUGAGUUGCGAACGGGUGAGUAACGCGUAGGUAACCUGCCUGGUAGCGGGGGAUAACUAUUGGAAACGAUAGCUAAUACCGCAUAAUAGUAGAUGUUGCAUGACAUUUGCUUAAAAGGUGCAAUUGCAUCACUACCAGAUGGACCUGCGUUGUAUUAGCUGGUUGGUGGGGUAACGGCUCACCAAGGCGACGAUACAUAGCCGACCUGAGAGGGUGAUCGGCCACACUGGGACUGAGACACGGCCCAGACUCCUACGGGAGGCAGCAGUAGGGAAUCUUCGGCAAUGGACGGAAGUCUGACCGAGCAACGCCGCGUGAGUGAAGAAGGUUUUCGGAUCGUAAAGCUCUGUUGUAAGAGAAGAACGAGUGUGAGAGUGGAAAGUUCACACUGUGACGGUAUCUUACCAGAAAGGGACGGCUAACUACGUG
RNAcentral lists this ribosomal RNA (495 nucleotides) under uncultured bacterium. RNAcentral describes it as "partial 16S ribosomal RNA". It matches the Rfam family "Bacterial small subunit ribosomal RNA", at positions 28 to 507 of the family's 1533-position model. The record is from RNAcentral.